AGCUUUGCGCAGAGGCAGUAUCGUAACCAAUGAGGAUUCGUCCGAGGUGCGAUUAUUGCUAGUUGAAAACUUUAACCAAUACCCCGCCAUGACGACGUGAAAUACCGUCGGCUACGGCAAUUUGUGAAAGCCCAUUCGUGGG
Molecule: small nuclear RNA, 142 nt
Organism: Hyalella azteca
Lineage: Eukaryota; Metazoa; Arthropoda; Malacostraca; Amphipoda; Hyalellidae
Product: U4 spliceosomal RNA
Exons: 1
Source: RefSeq, a predicted model, not a curated record